GGAAAGAUAUGAAAAUUCAAGCCGGACGCCAUUUUUGCUUCUCUUCGCGGCCGCCGCGCUCCAAGCUGGAGGAUGACGUGCCAUCUGGCUCCAAUGCCGCUCAUCCUGCCAGCGUUGCCAUACUGUCGCUCCCUCUGUGAAGGCACUGAUGGCACUGACCCACUGCCAGUCGGUGAUUCUGGUGAGUUCUGUUGUGUGCUCCAAUGGACGAACCUUCGACUUUUCAGUCAGUAGCUGUGCCCAGCUCCUUUGGACAUUCACACAAGUAUGCAAAUGAGCCCGGUGCAAGCGAUGUGGUAAAUGAUACGAGGCAAUGUGACAAUAAAAAUUAUGGGGUUUUACGUGCCAAAACCACUUUCUAAUUAUGAGGCACGCCGUAGUGGAGGACUCCGGAAAUUUCGACCACCUGGGGUUCUUUAAUGUGCACCUAAAUCUAAGUAAACAGGUUUUUUCGCGUUUUGCCCCCAUCGAAAUGCGGCCACCGUGGCCGGGAUUCAAUCCCGUGACCUCGUGCUCAGCAGCCCAACACCAUAGCCACUGAGCAACCACAGCGGGUAAUGUGAAAACGACAUCAUUAUGUUUCGUAAAAUGAGUCGUCAUUGGGAAGAUGUCCCAAUGCUUUCGCAUUCAUCCACGUAAAGAUACCCAAGUACCCCUGACUUUUGUCUUUUCUGCACAGUUAUGGCUCAGGAACAGUCAACUUUCACCAAGAAAAAAAUUGCGCUUAGAGCUGCACAAGAGGAUGCAGUGCACACCAUUCACAGCCACAGAAUGUUAAUGCAAAUAAAGCAGGAACCCACCUCCAAAAAGUAAAAGGCUCAAAUUGCCAAACAAACAAAUCUUGUUAAACAGCACAAGUCACCGGAAGAGAAACAUUUCUCACUGCUAGGCACUGUGAAAUGAAGAAAAUAAAGGGAAAAUGAGACAUCCACCCAAACGUAGCUAAUUGCUACAAAGAAAACCCACACGGGUUCUCCGAAAGAAAAGCCUCGCUGUUGAAAAAAAAUUCGUCCUAGUCCAGCACUCAAACCUGGGAGCACUAACUUUCUAAUUUUUCUUCUCUCCACCUUGGGGUUUCCGCAGAACUAUUACGUCAAACUCUUGCCUUUGCUUCAAGUUGUUGAUGAAUUUGACUUAGCCCUACCAUCUCCUAGCCGCCUGGUUAGCUCAAAUGGUAGAGCGGCUGCCCCGGAAAUGCGGUGGUCCCGUUUUCGAGUCCCGAACCAGGACGAAUUUUUCUUUAACUGCGAGGUUUUCUUUUGAGGAAUCCACACGAGGUUCCUUCGUAGCAAUUGCUACGUUUGGGUGGAUGUCUAAUUUUUCAUUUAUUAAUUACUUCUCUCCACCUUGCGGGUUCCCACAGAACUAUUAUGCCAAUUCUCGGCAAGCUUUUGUAGAUCAUUUGCCUUGUUUUAAUAAACAUUAAAAUAAAAAUUUGUGUUUAGCUGAUGCCAGUAAAACCAAUAUGUGCUUGUAUAUUUCCAAAGGAGGGGUGAUCUGUGAAGAGUCUUCUGUUUCUGCGCCCAUUUUAUGGGAUGCUUUGUCAUUUGUGGUCUGGUAAGCAUGUUUCUUUUAGUUUUUUUGACGAGGUUCCUAUAUGCGUUGCAUAAUGGUUGUGCUUUAGUAAGCCUCACCGCAAUACAGAAAUGUAUUCCAAUGAGACCAUUUUAAUUUUAUUUCACCAUCUUAUAUUUACAUGAUAGCCAAGGAGCUCCCGGUAAAAGCCUUCUCUCAAUAGCGUGACACAGUCAAGGUCACCUAUAGAACCUUGGCGGCAUUCAAGCGUGCAAAAAUAAAAAUGCCGGCAGACAGAGGCCUCAGCAGAGCAUCCGAGAUUAUAACCGGGGGAUCAAAGUUGGAACCACAAACCAGCCCACAUUUGUUUUACUGUUUUGGAGACGCCGCCAAAGUGUACUCAAUAAUGACACUUUGCUUACAGAUAGUAUUCGUCUAAAUUCUCACUUCACUGCAAUACACUGCAUAUGCUUGACCACAUAAAGCUGGAAAGCCAUCAUAAAAAAAACCUUAAAAAAUUCUUGUAUUUCUUUUUGUUUUCGUAACACACAAGCCUCCGUGCUUUAGUGGCAUUUCUUUCUUGUUCUACGUCAAUUGCAAUAAGAGGCCCAAAUACCCUGUUGUGGCCGCAGGCUUGUCUUAACGCUAGCGCAUCCUUUUGUUCCUUAAAUGUGAAUGCAACACCUCGAGUUUUUAAGUGGCAGCACAAUAUUUUGUUUGUAGGCUUAUAGAUGCACCACUGCUAACAUGCGUGCUUCUCGUUUCGCAUUGGAUGCACUCAGUUGCUCUGCAUAGCGCAGAAUAAUUUUGUACAAGUUCUGUGCAAAUAACCAAAGCGAGUGUAUGCCUGUAACGUUGGUGACCGUAGUGACAUUCUCAGAAAUAUGAAUUUCAUUUCUGCAUUUUGAAACUGUAACAAAGACUUACCAACUUACUGUCUCAUCAUUAAUGUUGCAGCCUGAACGCAUGGCUCCAUUGUCCUGCCAGGUUCUUCCUUUUCGUUGUGGCUGUGUUGACUUUCUUGCGUUGUUGAAAACGAAGCAAUGCGGCUUUCAGUAGCGAAUUGUAGCACAGAUAAACGCGUGCGCACAGUGUUUCUUGAAGCAUUCCAAGUUUCUUCAUGUACCUCGGAUUUACUGCAGUACAAGCGAUGUGUAGCCCUAUCAUCAAAUGGCCCCAGUGUCAACUGCUUCACCACGUCUAUGCAGUGUCAGAGCGCAAACGAAUGUGCGCAAUCUUGGUGGCAACGUCUGAAGUCGUGGCCCUGGGUGCUGCCAUGCUGGUGCAAGUGGCUUGCGUCGAGAACCAAGAGGCGUGCAGUGCUCAAGCCGCAGUGCUCUCUGAGAAGAUGCAGGGGACAGGAUUUUCUUAUAAAUUGCCUGGCUGCCUCGAGAUGGCGCUGUUAGUUGAGGGAUAUUAAGGAUUUCGGAAAUGAUGCUGCAAUUAUCCUAAUAGGUGACAUGAAUGCCCAUAUACAGAAUAUAGAUCGCUACACCGACAACAAUGGGAAGUCAAUGCUUGACCUUUGUGAGCAACAUAACCUCGUUAUCGUGAAUACAGGGCCCAAGUGUAAAGGGCAGAUCACGUGGGAAGUGGCAAACCAGCAAUCAACCAUUGAUUACUGUAUGAUGACAGAAGGAAUUCAUGAUAAGUUGAGAGAAAUGGUCAUUGAUGAGAAAAAGUAUAGCAGCAUAAGGAGAGACCAUAAACGCAUCAUUUUGAAAAUGGGAUAUGUAGUUGGGAAAGAGAGCAAGGAGUGCAAAAUGGCGUCCAAAUUUGAACGCUGAACAAAUAACAAAUAUAGUCACUAGAGUCAAGCAAGAACUUGUCAAAUGGCCAAGUGAAGAGUGGGAAUAUAGUGAGCUUCUAAGUGUAAUAACGACAGAAAUACGGAAAGAGAGACAACAUGUUCGUUGGAAAGGAAAAAAGAAACUGAAAAGCUGGUGGAAAAGGGAGAUACGAGAAGCGAUCGCCGAAAGACAGAAUGCAUCCCGAGAGCACAGGUAGGCAAAGAAGGCGCAGUUGCCACAGGAUGAAGUAGCCAGUAAAUGGGAAAUAUACCGGGAGAAAAAGUCUGGUACAAAUACUGGUGCAAGCAAGAUUAAAAGGUGAAAGUGACUGUUGGUUGUCACAAAUACGUGAGAAAAAGAAGGUCACACCUAGAAUAUUUUGGAACCACAUAAAAUUAUUAGGCAGGAAGUCAACAACAAUACAACAACAUAUCCUAGACGAAGAUGAAAACAGACUGGAAGGAGAAGCGGCAAUAAAUUAUAUCUGAAAAAUAACAGCCGAAUUUUUCAAAGGCAAUGACGAGGUUGUAUUUGAAGAAAAAAAGAACAUGAAAGAGACCCAGGUGGAGAAGGAGCUGGUGCUGUCAAAUUUCAACUGGAAGAAAGCCGAAGAGAAAAUUCCUCAGCGCACAGCCACAGGGCUAGACGAGGUUCCCGUUAGGCUGAUUAAUAAACUAGGACCAAAAAGUAAGAAAGCUCUGGUGAAAGCAGUGGAAAAAACUUUAAAAGAUAGACGAAUGCCAGACAGUUGACGACAAAGUAGAAUGAAAUUAAUUUAUAAAGGUAAGGGGGAGAAAGACAAUUCACUCGUAUAGACCGUUAACCAUUACAUCGGUAAUAUAAAGGCUAGCAAUGCAGGCAAUCAAGUUAAAGCUUCAAGCAUGGGCGGAGAAUAAUGGCAUUUUGGGAGAAUUUCGGAAUGGCUUCAGAAUAGGUAGGCGUUUGGGUGAUAACUUAUUUAUUCUUACUCAGUGUAUUGAAAUAGUAGAAAGCAGACCGUUAUAUGUGGCCUUUUUAGACAUUACAGGAGCCUAUGACAACGUAGACCGCAACAUUUUGUGGGAUAUUCUGGAAGGGGAAAGCUUAGGUGACGAUUGUCUACAGCUUUUGAAAGAGAUGUACCUAGAAAAUACCGUUUGCAUUGAAUGAGAAGGGAUGAGGAGCGAGGAGAAAGUUCAUAUCAACAAGGGACUGAGGCAGGGGUGCCCUUUAUCCCCGCUGCUAUUUAUGAUGUACAUGGUGAGGAUGGAGAGGAUGCUAGAAGGAAGUAAUAUCGGGUUUAAUCUCUCAUACAAACAGGCGGGUACACUAGUAGAGCAGCAGCUUCCAGGUUCAUUUUAUGCGGACGACAUUGUGUUGCUAGCUAACAAGCAAAGCGAUUUGCAACGUCUGGCUAAUAUCUGUGGACAGGAAGGCAAGAAUUUAGGUUUGAAAUUUAGUGUUAGAAAAUCAGGUGUUAUGGUAUUCAAUGAAAACAGUGAACAGACAGUGGCGAUACAGGGCCAGGAAAUACCUCGGGUAACAGAAUAUAAAUACCUUGGUACUGUAUAUGGAUAAAUGAAGGCAAUAGAUAUAUGGAAACACAGGAAAAAACAAUAACAGUGAAGGGGAAGAGAAAUGCAGCCAUAAUGAAGCACAGAGCGCUAUGGGGAUUCAACAGGUACGAGGUGCUCAGGGUUAUGUGGAAAGGUGUAAUGGUUCCAGGACUUACUUUUGCAAAUGAGACUGUUUUCUUGAAAUCAGGGGUACAAUCAGGACCCAAUGGCAACCAAAGGUCAGUGGGAUGCCUUGCAUUGAGCACUCACAGGAAGACUACAAUGAAGCUGUGCAGGGUGAUAUGGGCUGGACUAGUUUUGAAGUGAGGGAAGCUGGCAGUAAAAUUGAGUAUGAAGAAUGACUGAGGAAUAUGGAAGAAAGUAAACGGGCUGGGAGAGUGUUAAGGUAUCUGUACAGGAAAAACAUUGAUUCACCGUGCAGGAAAAUAACUAGGAAGCUUACCAGAAAGUAUGCAGCCUGUAGGGUGGGCAACACAGCAACAAAGAAUGUCAAGCGGAAAGUCAGAGAGGCUGAAAUAAUCUCAUGGGUGGCGGCAACGGAAAAGAAA
Long non-coding RNA from Dermacentor andersoni, 5409 nucleotides. RefSeq lists it as uncharacterized. Lineage: Eukaryota; Metazoa; Arthropoda; Arachnida; Ixodida; Ixodidae. The record is from RefSeq and is a predicted model, not a curated record.